Molecule: ribosomal RNA, 560 nt
Filed under: uncultured Alphaproteobacteria bacterium
Lineage: Bacteria; Pseudomonadati; Pseudomonadota; Alphaproteobacteria
Description: bacterial SSU rRNA
Rfam family: Bacterial small subunit ribosomal RNA
Source: RNAcentral
CCUACGGGAGGCAGCAGUGGGGAAUAUUGGACAAUGGGCGAAAGCCUGAUCCAGCCAUGCCGCGUGAGUGAAGAAGGCCCUAGGGUUGUAAAGCUCUUUCACCGGUGAAGAUAAUGACUGUAGCCGGAGAAGAAGCCCCGGCUAACUUCGUGCCAGCAGCCGCGGUAAUACGAAGGGGGCUAGCGUUGUUCGGAAUUACUGGGCGUAAAGCGCGCGUAGGCGGAUACUUAAGUCAGGGGUGAAAUCCCGAGGCUCAACCUCGGAACUGCCUUUGAUACUGGGUAUCUUGAGUUCGAGAGAGGUAAGUGGAAUUCCGAGUGUAGAGGUGAAAUUCGUAGAUAUUCGGAGGAACACCAGAGGCGAAGGCGGCUUACUGGCUCGAUACUGACGCUGAGGCGCGAAAGCGUGGGGAGCAAACAGGAUUAGAUACCCUGGUAGUCCACGCCGUAAACGAUGGAUGCUAGCCGUUGGAUAGUAUACUAUUCAGUGGCGCAGCUAACGCAUUAAGCAUCCCGCCUGGGGAGUACGGUCGCAAGAUUAAAACUCAAAGGAAUUGACGG